UCUAAAACAAAAUAAACAGACAUGUUUACUUCACAAUUCAUUUCAACUGCGCGCAAAUCAAACAAACUUAGGGUUUUGCCCCAAUUGCUGAUUAUUGCCUCCACCGCUAGUGCUUCUUCCUUCUUCUUUUUUUGGUGUAUACUCUUUCUCCUUCUUCCUUCUUCUUUUCUGUUUUUUUUCCUAUUAUAUUUUAUAUAUUUUGUAAAACAAUUCAUACAAAAUAUAAUUUUUAAUCUUUGAUUUUAGGGGUGUCUCACAUUUCGACCUCUAUUCUGUUUGCAAUUUUUGUUUUUGUGCUCUCCAAAAUUUCAAAGGCCAAGCCCCAACAAGUCGACAAGGUAUGUAGUCCUACUUUCUUGUUUUUAGUUUCUUAGCGAGGAUAAUCCUCAAUAAAAUAGUGAAUUUAGAGAUUUUCAGAUUAUCAAUCUUUGUUUUUUAAUUGAUUGUUGUCAUUUUUUUUUUUUGGUUGAUAAAGUAAUUGGCUUUGGCUUUGUUAGCAUCUAAAAUUAGCUAUCGGGUAAAUUAGUAGAUGGCACAAUAUAAAAAGAAAACUAAAGUAGCUUGAGUAGCUGACCAAUUAACAUAUCCAUGGCAAGCUGGAUACAGUUUUCUUUCUAAUUUGCAUAUUUGUGUAUCAAUAUAUCUUCAUAGGCAGCAUAUUUCUAAUAGGCCACAAACUUACAGUAAAGGUGGCCAAGAAAUUCAAAAAGGAAAAAACAACAUGAAAUGAUACAUUAAUCUCUGUUGAGCCUGAACAACUAAUGAUGCUUGUUAUUGAUCGUUUUCAGAACAUGAUAGGUCGUCGAGUGCAAUUGAAAUAAUAAUAUUUAUAUUCAUAUAUUAUGUUUGUCUGGUUCGCUACUUCUUAAAUGUAUAAUAAAUAUCGAGUGCAAUUGAAAUAAUAAUGUUUAUAUUCAUAUAUUAUGUUUGUCUGGUUCGCUACUUCUUAAAUGUAUAAUAAAUAUCGGUAUCUAUUCUUUAGUCUGCUUGUUAUUGUAUUUUAGUUUUGGGUCAUUGUCCUAUUUUAAAAUUUUGAACCCAUACACUUUAAAUCCUAGGUCCACCUCUGAUUCUAUCAAUUGUGUAACUUCCGCUUUUUAUAUUGUUCAUUUCUUGAUUUUUUUUUAAUCCAUUGAGACGAGAAAUGAACAAAAAAAAGAAAGACGAUAAUACAUUAUUGAAUAAAAAAUGAUGCAUCUAUCAUCUAUGAGCUUUAAAUGUAAUGAUGAAAAGGAGACAAUUUGAAAAUGACGGGGUUGUCUCUCCCAAAGAAAACAAGUUUGUUGUAAUAUUCUUAGUAAAAUGUUAACAACACAAUAAAAUUGCAAUAAUUAGACUGCAACUUCAACUCAAUCAAUAUUUGUAUUGGAGCAUGACUCUCUCUCUAUAUUAUUUCCUACACGAUGUUCGAUAUUCAUAUUGAGGUUCGAUUAAAAUUUAAAUUUUCACCAGAAGGUAUGAUAUUUGGAAAUAAAGUACUCUUUAACAAAUGCGAUUUCACACCCAAAACUCGACCUCCAAUUUAAAAAUAAAAAAGUACUUACCACUCUAUCAGAACUCAUAUUAGUUAUGCAUGUUUACGUGUAUAUAUCUGGCAAGUAGUGACAUAAGAGAGCACGGGACUCAUUCCCAAGCCUCCAUAGUCAAAAUAAAUAAUUAUAAGAUCCACUAAAUUAUGAAUUAAUAACUAUCUCCUAUGACACUUAUGUUUCUCUAUUCUCGUUUUGUACAUAAUAGAGGUUGAUUUCAUAUUAUUUUAAGUUUUGAGUAACCUACACAUUCAAUAAAAGUUUGACCAACUAGCUAGUUGGAUAACACAUAAUUCGAAAAAACAAAUCCAAACACAUGGCAAAAUAAUAAAAAUACUUUUAAAGUAGCUUAUUAAUUAUGCCGAAAGAAUCGUAUGAAAAUGCAACCGAAAAUAUACUUAUUUUUUGUGCAUAAAGUUCAUCUCUAAAUACUUUUUGUUUCUUUAGAUUCUUUAAGUUAUUGUCAUCCAAAGGCAAAAGUUGGUCAAAUUACAAAGCAUUACUCAACAAUUUCAAAACAUUUGUUAUGCGUACGUGGUGUGGUCAACAUAAAGUCAGCAUAAAAUGGCCUACAGAUCUGCCUUUACACCUCAAGAUAAGAUGAAAAAAAGGCAAGAUAAGGUAACUGCUGCCUUAAAAGAGAAGUUAAUAUAAUCCAGUCAAGCACAAGAUCUGUUGGCCCUACGCACAUAUUGAAAUCUUUGAAAAGCUACUUUGAGGGUUUAUCCAAAACAACCUCUUUAUCUCCAAAAGAUAUGGAUAAAAUCGGCAUGCACACUAUUCUCCCCAGACCCACUUGUAGAAUUACACUAAUGUGCAUUAAUCAACUACGGUUUAAUGAUAAUAACGCAUGUGAAGACAUAUGGAAAAAUCCUUGGUAGGGAGCACUUUGGUAUGUGCGUUAUCAUGCCGCUUGCCUAAGAUUCGAACUUGUUCCCCGAUUUCUUCCACCUCCCGACGGAGUUCCCCAUUUCUUGUCGUGUCCGGCAUGGUUUCCGGCCAAGGUAAGGUGGCUCUGAUAUCAAAUUGGUAUUUGCUAAAUCAAUUGAGCACAAUACUAUAGCCCUAAGGAACUAAAAUGAGAAGGAUAGUUCCUGAACGAUGCUACAGCUAUGGAAAAUAGAGUAUAAGAUUUGAAGAGAGAAGAGAUAAGAGUUUAUUAUCAAUCAAAAGGUAUAUUCCCCUUUACAAUUGAUUCCCCUUUUAAUCUUCCACUAAUCCUCGGCUAAUAAACGACUAACAACUUCUCUAAUGACUCCUAACAGUAUAACUAACUUUACUGUGUAAUGACUGAACUGCCCUUACUAUCUCUAUACAAUUGGCUAUUGUAUCCCCUUAUCAUAUUGGUACAUAACAAGAUCUCCCUUACUCAAAAGUCCUCGUCCUCAAGGACAAAAGAAGGAAACUGUUGUUUAAAAGAAUGAGCAUCUAACUUAGUGCUAUCCUCAUUGGGACAAUUAAAUCACUUGACUAACAACUGAGUGAUCUACAUGUUGUGUUUCAUGAUCUUCCUGGUCUCCAAAAUCUCCUCUGGUUCCAAUAUAACAUGUCCAUGAGAAGACAAAGUAACUGGAAAGUCUGACACUACUGGAGCAUCACCAAUGUGUUUCUUGAGUUGAGAAACAUGAAAUGUAGAGUGAAUUUUGGCAGAGGUAUGUAGCUGCAAUUGAUAAGCAACAGAACCAACUCUUUUGAGAAUUGGGAAUGGGCCAAAGUACUUGGGGUUGAGCUUGUAGUAGGAAUGGACCUUCAGUGACAUUUGUCUAUAAGAUUGCAACCUUGCAUACACCAUAUCACCAACUGCAAAUUCUAUGAAAGACCUCUUCUUAUCAGCCUGUGCCUUCAUCCCGGACUGAGCGACUGUUAGGUGAUGCUUCAGAAGCCUAAUAGUGCUUUCUCUAGCUUGCAAACUCCUCUCAACUUCGUCCAUCAUAGAGUUGUAGGGAAUAUAAGGCAUGUGAACUGGGGUUUUAUGACCAUACAGAAUUUCAAAGGGAGUUAACUUGGUGGCAAAAUGGCAGAUAGUAUUAUACCACCACUCUGCUGAAGAUACCUAAUGAAUUAAGUCUUUAGGCCUGUCAUUGCACAUACAUCUGAGAUACCUUUCUAAGCAUUUGUUUACAGCUUCAGUUUAGCCGUCAGAUUGUGGAAGAUAAGCAGUUGAGUGGUGCAGCUGGACACCGUGAACAUCAAACAAAGACUGCCAAAAUUUGCUCAUAAACACCACAUCUCUGUCACUCACGAUGGUCUGAGGCAGACCAUGCAAUUUUUAUAUCUUCUCCAAGCAUGCCCGUGCGACAAGCUGCAAUGUAAGGAUGUUUCAAACAAAUGAAAUGGGCAUAUUUGCUCAGCCUUUCCGCUACUACCAUAACUACUGAUAUGCCGUGUGAUUUUUGUAGCCCUUCUAUAAAAUCAAUGCUGAUAUCCUGCCAUACCUUCUCAGGAAUUGGCAGUGGUUGUAACAAUUCAGGACUCUUCACAUGUUCACCUUUGCAAUUCUGGCAUAUUUCACAUCUUUUGACAUGGUCAAACACAUCUACCUUCAGCUUUCUCCAGUAAUACACUUGGCUGACCUUUUUCAAGGUUGCAGUCAUACCACAAUGACCCCUUACUGCUCCAUCAUGUAAUUGUUGUAGUAUUUCCUUUCUCAAUUCUUUAUCUGCACCAGCCACUAUCCUUCCCUUCCUAUAAAGCACCCCAUCCCUCAACAAAUAGAUGGGGUUUAUCAUGGGAUUCUGUUGUAGUUGCUACAUGAGUUGUUGGAGGUGCGCAUCAGCAACAUAGGAAGUUCUGAUCCUCUCAACAAAGUCAGAAGAGACAUGGGAUAUGGUGUGUAGCUGAACUUUUGUUGUAAGUAAUCUAGACAAGGCAUCUGCAACUAAAUUGUCUUGUCCCUUCUUGUAUGUGAUAGUGUAAUCAUACACCAUUAACUUGGCUAACCAUUUCUGUUGACUAGGAGUGGAAAUUCUUUGCUGUAUAAGAUAUUUUAGACUUUGAUGAUCAGUCUUGAUAGUAAAAUGUUUC
This 4553-nucleotide long non-coding RNA is filed under the name Nicotiana tabacum (common tobacco). Its description in RNAcentral is "long non-coding RNA (NTAB_LNC013217)". The record is from RNAcentral. Lineage: Eukaryota; Viridiplantae; Streptophyta; Magnoliopsida; Solanales; Solanaceae.